UACAGAGGUCCCAAGCGUUGUUCGGAUUCACUGGGCGUAAAGGGUGCGUAGGUGGCUUGAAAAGUUUGAUGUGAAAGCUCAGGGCUUAACCCUGAAAUGGCAUUGAAUACUGUCGAGCUGGAGGUUUGGAGGGGGGACUGGAAUUCUUGGUGUAGCAGUGAAAUGCGUAGAUAUGCGGAGGAACACCGAUGGCGAAGGCAAUCCCCUGGGCCUGCACUGACGCUCAUGCACGAAAGCGUGGGGAGCAAACAGG
This 253-nucleotide ribosomal RNA is filed under the name uncultured prokaryote. RNAcentral's name for it is "partial 16S ribosomal RNA". It matches the Rfam family "Bacterial small subunit ribosomal RNA", at positions 524 to 776 of the family's 1533-position model. The record is from RNAcentral.